RNAcentral lists this ribosomal RNA (514 nucleotides) under uncultured Entrophospora. RNAcentral describes it as "SSU rRNA". It matches the Rfam family "Eukaryotic small subunit ribosomal RNA", at positions 569 to 1078 of the family's 1831-position model. Lineage: Eukaryota; Fungi; Glomeromycota; Glomeromycetes; Entrophosporales; Entrophosporaceae. The record is from RNAcentral.
AGCAGCCGCGGUAAUUCCAGCUCCAAUAGCGUAUAUUAAAGUUGUUGCAGUUAAAAAGCUCGUAGUUGAAUUUCGGGAUUGACGUGAUGGUCGUGCCUUAAGGGGUAUGAACUGUCGCAGUUGAUUUCUCACCUUCUGGAGAAGCAUGAUGUCCUUAAUUGGGUGUCAUGUGGAACCAGGACCUUUACCUUGAAAAAAUUAGAGUGUUUAAAGCAGGCAUUUUGCUCGAAUACAUUAGCAUGGAAUAAUAGAAUAGGACGGCAUGGUUCUAUUUUGUUGGUUUCUAGGAUCACCGUAAUGAUUAAUAGGGAUGGUUGGGGGCAUUAGUAUUCAAUUGUCAGAGGUGAAAUUCUUGGAUUUAUUGAAGACUAACUACUGCGAAAGCAUUUGCCAAGGAUGUUUUCAUUAAUCAAGAACGAAAGUUAGGGGAUCGAAGACGAUCAGAUACCGUCGUAGUCUUAACCAUAAACUAUGCCGACUAGGAAUCAGACGAUGUUAAUUUUUAAUGACUUCG